Seriola dumerili (greater amberjack) is the source of this 140-nucleotide long non-coding RNA. RefSeq lists it as uncharacterized. NCBI's taxonomy places the organism in Eukaryota, Metazoa, Chordata, Actinopteri, Carangiformes, Carangidae. The record is from RefSeq and is a predicted model, not a curated record. The transcript has 2 exons.
ACAAGGUUUUUACAUGUUAGAAAAGAUGUGUCUGCAUGCUCGUAAUAACUGUUGUGACAGUUAGGUGGAGGUGUUGUAUCAGCUUUGCAUCUUGUUGCAUUUAUUCAAGAAUUGUUCAAUAAAAAGCAUUGUGCCCAAAA